This 497-nucleotide ribosomal RNA is filed under the name uncultured bacterium. Its description in RNAcentral is "partial 16S ribosomal RNA". It matches the Rfam family "Bacterial small subunit ribosomal RNA", at positions 28 to 507 of the family's 1533-position model. The record is from RNAcentral.
GAUGAACGCUGGCGGCGUGCCUAAUACAUGCAAGUCGAGCGAACGGACGAGAAGCUUGCUUCUCUGAUGUUGGCGGCGGACGGGUGAGUAACACGUGGAUAACCUACCUAUAAGACUGGGAUAACUUCGGGAAACCGUAGCUAAUACCGGAUAAUAUUUUGAACCGCAUGGUUCAAAAGUGAAAGACGGUCUUGCUGUCACUUAUAGAUGGAUCCGCGCUGCAUUAGCUAGUUGGUAAGGUAACGGCUUACCAAGGCAACGAUGCAUAGCCGACCUGAGAGGGUGAUCGGCCACACUGGAACUGAGACACGGUCCAGACUCCUACGGGAGGCAGCAGUAGGGAAUCUUCCGCAAUGGGCGAAAGCCUGACGGAGCAACGCCGCGUGAGUGAUGAAGGUCUUCGGAUCGUAAAACUCUGUUAUUAGGGAAGAACAUAUGUGUAAGUAACUGUGCACAGCUUGACGGUACCUAAUCAGAAAGCCACGGCUAACUACGUG